Molecule: long non-coding RNA, 553 nt
Organism: Neltuma alba
Lineage: Eukaryota; Viridiplantae; Streptophyta; Magnoliopsida; Fabales; Fabaceae
Exons: 3
Source: RefSeq, a predicted model, not a curated record
AUGCCUUUCUCUUUAGUUCGAAUUUCUCUUCAGAGCAACCAAAGCAGAUAGCUCAAAAUCUCAAGAUGUCUUCUUCUGCAUCAUUCACUUAUUCUCUCUUCAGCCCCCUCAGGUCCCCAAGGAAGUCACUAAUUAACAGGAACCAUCAGUUUCUUACUAGAUACAACGCAUGUCGUCCCCAGCUUUGUAAUAAGAAUGAGUUAUCAUCAAACCCCUCUUAUAAAUUUGCUUCUCUUUAUGCACUUCAAUUAAUUUAUUACACACAGCCGCCACAACCGCCGCUAUACCUGUAACAGCAAUGCCUUCUCCUCAGUGUCCAAGGAUUUCUCAGCUCACAAGGCUGGUUCCUCGUCAAAAAGGCUUUGAUAUUGUGAUUCGAAAGUUGACUGAUAUAGUGGAGAAGCACUACCCUGAUGCAUUAUUGAUGGAGCAAAGUCCUAUAAGGAUGCGAGCUCUGAUUGGAUGCAAAUGCAUCUACGAAUUUACAGGAGAUGUUAUUUCAGGAUCUCUUGCCCUAACAAUAUUAAUAUCAUUCAUGGUGCGCCCUGAUCUG